Molecule: ribosomal RNA, 253 nt
Filed under: uncultured bacterium
Lineage: Bacteria
Description: partial 16S ribosomal RNA
Rfam family: Bacterial small subunit ribosomal RNA
Source: RNAcentral
UACAGAGGGUGCGAGCGUUAAUCGGAAUUACUGGGCGUAAAGCGCACGUAGGCGGCUUGGUAUGUCGGGUGUGAAAUCCCCGGGCUCAACCUGGGAACUGCAUCCGAAACUGCCUUGCUCGAGUAUGGGAGAGGGAAGUGGAAUUUCCGGUGUAGCGGUGAAAUGCGUAGAUAUCUGGAGGAACACCGGUGGCGAAGGCGGCAUUCUGGACUGCAACUGACACUGAACGACGAAAGCCAGGGGAGCAAACGGG